Molecule: ribosomal RNA, 855 nt
Filed under: uncultured bacterium
Lineage: Bacteria
Description: bacterial SSU rRNA
Rfam family: Bacterial small subunit ribosomal RNA
Source: RNAcentral
AGAGUUUGAUCAUGGCUCAGAACGUACGCUGGCGGCACGCCUAACACAUGCAAGUCGAACGCAGUAGCAAUACUGAGUGGCAAACGGGUGAGUAUAAUGUGGGAAUCUGCCUUUUGGUUUGGAAUAACACGGGGAAACUUGUGCUAAUACCGAAUAAGCCCUUACGGGGAAAGUUUUAAUGCCAAAAGAUGAGCCCGCACUUGAUUAGCUAGUUGGUAAGGUAAAAGCUUACCAAGGCAACGAUCAAUAGCUGUUCUUAGAGGAAGACCAGCCACAUUGGGACUGAGACACGGCCCAGACUCCUACGGGAGGCAGCAGUGGGGAAUCUUGCACAAUGGGGGAAACCCUGAUGCAGCGAUGCCGCGUGAGUGAAGAAGGCCCUUGGGUUGUAAAACUCUUUCGUCGGGGAAGAAAAUGACUGUACCCGAAUAAGAAGGUCCGGCUAACUUCGUGCCAGCAGCCGCGGUAAUACGAAGGGACCUAGCGUAGUUCGGAAUUACUGGGCUUAAAGAGCUCGUAGGUGGUUAAAAUAGUUGAUGGUGAAAUCCCAAGGCUCAACCUUGGAACUGCCAUCAAAACUUUUUAGCUAGAGUGUGAUAGAGGUAAGUGGAAUUUCUAGUGUAGAGGUGAAAUUCGUAGAUAUUAGAAAGAACACCAAAUGCGAAGGCAACUUACUGGGUCACUACUGACACUGAGGAGCGAAAGCAUGGGUAGCGAAGAGGAUUAGAUACCCUCGUAGUCCAUGCCGUAAACGAUGUGUGCUAGACGUUGGAAAUAUAUUUUUCAGUGUCGCAGCGAAAGCAUUAAGCACACCGCCUGGGGAGUACGACCGCAAGGUUAAAACUCAAAUGAAUU